RNAcentral lists this transfer RNA (72 nucleotides) under Heterocephalus glaber (naked mole-rat). It matches the Rfam family "tRNA". Rfam says of the family: Transfer RNA (tRNA) molecules are approximately 80 nucleotides in length. Their secondary structure includes four short double-helical elements and three loops (D, anti-codon, and T loops). Lineage: Eukaryota; Metazoa; Chordata; Mammalia; Rodentia; Bathyergidae. The record is from Rfam by way of RNAcentral.
AUUGAUGUUGCUCAGUGGUAGAGCAUGUGCUUAGCAUGCAUGAGGUUCUGAGUUCAAUUUCCAGCACAAAAA